CGGGGUGAGUAACACGUGGGUAACCUGCCCAUCAGAAGGGGAUAACACUUGGAAACAGGUGCUAAUACCGUAUAACAAUCGAAACCGCAUGGUUUCGGUUUGAAAGGCGCUUUUGCGUCACUGAUGGAUGGACCCGCGGUGCAUUAGCUAGUUGGUGAGGUAACGGCUCACCAAGGCAACGAUGCAUAGCCGACCUGAGAGGGUGAUCGGCCACAUUGGGACUGAGACACGGCCCAA
Molecule: ribosomal RNA, 237 nt
Filed under: uncultured bacterium
Lineage: Bacteria
Description: partial 16S ribosomal RNA
Rfam family: Bacterial small subunit ribosomal RNA
Source: RNAcentral